AAUUUGUAACCUUGUGAUACAGCCUCUUGCAAGGACAAUUGCUUGUGGCGAAACAUGGUUACAUAAAGCAAAACAAGGAAGCUAAGGCGGGACUUCUGGAGGUUGAGGAGUUCUACGUGUUCUACGUGCGAUGUUCCUUGGACAGAAUGUCUUCAGAGAGCCCUGCUUUCCACGGCGGUGACGGACCAUCAUGUACCCUCACCUUUCUUGAAGCAGGAAGAAAAAGCCUUGUGUGGUAACCAGCUAUUGUUUGGAAGGGGAAGGUUUUCCUGUCAAACACUUGAUUUGUCACAUUC
This 296-nucleotide small nucleolar RNA is filed under the name Oncorhynchus kisutch (coho salmon). The record is from RNAcentral. Lineage: Eukaryota; Metazoa; Chordata; Actinopteri; Salmoniformes; Salmonidae.